GGGUCAGUAGGUUGGUCGUGCCACCGGUACGUACUGGUCUCACUGAUUCCUCCUUCCUGAAGAACCGUAGUGCCAUUAAUUUGGUGUUGCGGGGAAACAGGACUGUUACUUUGAAAAAAUUAGAGUGUUUAAAGCAAGCUAACGCUCGAAUACAUUAGCAUGGAAUAAUGAAAUAGGACGAUCGAUCCUAUUUUGUUGGUUUCUAGGAUUGACGUA
This 216-nucleotide ribosomal RNA is filed under the name Glomeromycotina sp. RNAcentral describes it as "partial small subunit ribosomal RNA". The stretch from base 40 to 216 matches the Rfam family "Eukaryotic small subunit ribosomal RNA", at positions 686 to 864 of the family's 1831-position model. The record is from RNAcentral. Lineage: Eukaryota; Fungi; Glomeromycota.